GGAAGGGUGGCCGAGCGGUUUAAGGCGUCGGUCUCGAAAACCGAUGUACGGGUAACCGUACCGUGGGUUCGAAUCCCACCCCUUCCGCCA
This 90-nucleotide transfer RNA is filed under the name Acidobacteriota bacterium. RNAcentral's name for it is "Acidobacteria bacterium (stromatolite metagenome) tRNA-Ser". It matches the Rfam family "tRNA". Rfam says of the family: Transfer RNA (tRNA) molecules are approximately 80 nucleotides in length. Lineage: Bacteria; Pseudomonadati; Acidobacteriota. The record is from RNAcentral.